This 500-nucleotide ribosomal RNA is filed under the name uncultured bacterium. RNAcentral describes it as "partial 16S ribosomal RNA". It matches the Rfam family "Bacterial small subunit ribosomal RNA", at positions 28 to 523 of the family's 1533-position model. The record is from RNAcentral.
GAUGAACGCUAGCGGCAGGCUUAAUACAUGCAAGUCGUGGGGCAGCAUGAGUAGCAAUACUUGAUGGCGACCGGCAAACGGGUGCGGAACACGUACACAACCUUCCGAUAAGUGGGGAAUAGCCCAGAGAAAUUUGGAUUAAUACCCCGUAACAUAUAGAGUAGGCAUCUUCUUUAUAUUAUAGCUUCGGCGCUUAUUGAUGGGUGUGCGUCUGAUUAGGUAGUUGGCGGGGUAACGGCCCACCAAGCCUACGAUCAGUAGCUGAUGUGAGAGCAUGAUCAGCCACACGGGCACUGAGACACGGGCCCGACUCCUACGGGAGGCAGCAGUAAGGAAUAUUGGACAAUGGGCGAAAGCCUGAUCCAGCCAUGCCGCGUGAAGGAUUAAGGUCCUCUGGAUUGUAAACUUCUUUUAUUUGGGACGAAAAAAGGGAAUUCUUUCCCACUUGACGGUACCAAGUGAAUAAGCACCGGCUAACUCCGUGCCAGCCGCCGCGGUAA